RNAcentral lists this long non-coding RNA (1153 nucleotides) under Papio anubis (olive baboon). RNAcentral's name for it is "lncRNA (ENSPANG00000037498.1)". Lineage: Eukaryota; Metazoa; Chordata; Mammalia; Primates; Cercopithecidae. The record is from RNAcentral.
GGAAAGACUCAACCUUCUGCUGCCUUGCUAGGGACAGGCCACUUGACUGAUGAGCAGCCACAGGACCCUGUUGUACAUAUAGUGCUUCAAUCAAAGUGCACCUUUCCCUCUGGUCUUCACCCAGACGGGUGAGCACAUCAGCUUUCAUCUUUAGUUCUUCUGCUCUUCUUGGCUUUUUAAAAUUGUCUUAUUUUUCUUACAGCUCAAUCUGGUUCUUAAUCCCAAACCUUUUGGGCAAUCCUUCUGGGUGGGAACUCACUUUGUGUACUUGCGAAUAUCAAGCUGCUAAUCUUCACACAGCUAUAGUUUGCUUUAUUGUGAUAUUUGACACUGACAUUUUCCGUAACACUGUGAAGCACUCACAUCUUGAUCUCAUUAGAUCCAUGUCACUUUGUUCUAUGGAUAAAUCCCUUCAUUUUUGGCCCUUGGUGUUAUCUUUUCAUCCUUUGCAAUACUGUAAAUAUCAGUGUUCUCCAAAAGUAGUACUCCUAUUCCUACUCUCCAUAGUUUUAGCUCCCAUUCCAAAGCUGAGACCCUUCUCUUGAGUCCAGACCUGUGUGUCCAGUUGCCUGGUGGAGUCCUCUGCCUUGUCACUCUGAAGGCACCUUAAGUUCAAUAUGUUCCAACCUGAACUCAUUGUUCAUCGAAGCUGCCAAGCUCCCUCUCCCUCUCUUCCCUAUGCUUGCUCAUGUUAACCAUAUUCCCAUACAAUCACCCAUGCCUAGGAAUCAUCUUGAAGUCCUUCUCAUUUAUCCCCAAUACGGAAUACCAAGACAGUCCUAUCCACUCUAUGUCUUAACUCUCCUACAUCUAUUUCGUCCCUUCAUUUUCACUUUUACUUCCCCGGUUCAGGCCUUUUUGUUGUAUGUCAAUCACAACAACCUCCUUAUUGUACUGUAAAUCCUCCCACUUUCACAUAGCCCUACAUAAACCCAUCCUCCAUGCAUGCGCCCCCAGAGUUGCGAGCCCCCACCUUUUUUUUGAGCCCCCACUCUGUCACCAGGGUGAAGUGCAGUGGUGUGAUCCCGGCUCACUGCAACUUCUGCCUCCCGGGUUCACGCAAUUCUCAUGCCUCAGCCUCCUAAGUAGCUGGGAUUACAGGCGUGAGCCACUACACCUGGCCGGUAGUGUGAUUCUAAAGGGCUGGAAGUGA